RNAcentral lists this ribosomal RNA (253 nucleotides) under uncultured bacterium. RNAcentral describes it as "partial 16S ribosomal RNA". It matches the Rfam family "Bacterial small subunit ribosomal RNA", at positions 524 to 776 of the family's 1533-position model. The record is from RNAcentral.
UACGUAGGGUCCGAGCGUUGUCCGGAAUUAUUGGGCGUAAAGGGCUCGUAGGCGGUCUGUCGCGUCGGGAGUGAAAACUUACAGCUUAACUGUGAGCGUGCUUCCGAUACGGGCAGACUUGAGGUAUUCAGGGGAGAACGGAAUUCCUGGUGUAGCGGUGAAAUGCGCAGAUAUCAGGAGGAACACCGGUGGCGAAGGCGGUUCUCUGGGCAUUACCUGACGCUGAGGAGCGAAAGUGUGGGGAGCGAACAGG